This 301-nucleotide ribosomal RNA is filed under the name uncultured bacterium. RNAcentral's name for it is "partial 16S ribosomal RNA". It matches the Rfam family "Bacterial small subunit ribosomal RNA", at positions 509 to 809 of the family's 1533-position model. The record is from RNAcentral.
CAGUAGCCACGGUAAUACGAAGGGGGCUAGCGUUGCUCGGAAUUACUGGGCGUAAAGGGCGCGUAGGCGGACAGUUCAGUCGGGGGUGAAAGCCCGGGGCUCAACCUCGGAAUUGCCUUCGAUACUGGCUGUCUUGAGUAUGAGAGAGGUGUGUGGAACUCCGAGUGUAGAGGUGAAAUUCGUAGAUAUUCGGAAGAACACCAGUGGCGAAGGCGACACACUGGCUCAUUACUGACGCUGAGGCGCGAAAGCGUGGGGAGCAAACAGGAUUAGAUACCCCGGUAGUCCCUGUCUCUUAUAA